CCCUUAGAUGUUCUGGGCCGCACGCGUGCUACACUGAGUAAUUAAAUGGGUAAGGGAACGCUAGAGCAUUACCUAAUCUUGAAAUUUGCUCGUGAUGGGGAUCGACGGUUGCAAUUUUCCGUCGUGAACGAGGAAUACCUUGUAGGCGCAUGUCAUCAUCAUGCGCCGAAUACGUCCCUGCCCUUUGUACACACCGCCCGUCGCUCCUACCGAUUGAGUGAUCCGGUGAGGCUCUGGGACCUGGACGGAAAGAGCGUUUCGCUUGUUCUGUUUGGGAAACUUGGUCGAACCUUAUCAUUUAGAGGAAGGAGAAGUCGUAACA
RNAcentral lists this ribosomal RNA (322 nucleotides) under uncultured eukaryote. RNAcentral's name for it is "partial 18S ribosomal RNA". It matches the Rfam family "Eukaryotic small subunit ribosomal RNA", at positions 1470 to 1796 of the family's 1831-position model. The record is from RNAcentral.